UACGUAGGGGGCAAGCGUUGUCCGGAUUUAUUGGGCGUAAAGAGCGUGUAGGCGGCCUGAAAGGUCAGCUGUGAAAACUCGAGGCUCAACCUCGAGACGUCGGUUGAAACCAUCUGGCUAGAGUCCGGAAGAGGAGAGUGGAAUUCCCGGUGUAGCGGUGAAAUGCGCAGAUAUCAGGAGGAACACCUAUUGCGAAGGCAGCUCGCUGGGACGUUACUGACGCUGAGACGCGAAAGCGUGGGGAGCAAACAGG
This 253-nucleotide ribosomal RNA is filed under the name uncultured bacterium. RNAcentral describes it as "partial 16S ribosomal RNA". It matches the Rfam family "Bacterial small subunit ribosomal RNA", at positions 524 to 776 of the family's 1533-position model. The record is from RNAcentral.